This 437-nucleotide long non-coding RNA is filed under the name Linum usitatissimum (flax). Its description in RNAcentral is "long non-coding RNA (LUSI_LNC001642)". Lineage: Eukaryota; Viridiplantae; Streptophyta; Magnoliopsida; Malpighiales; Linaceae. The record is from RNAcentral.
UUAUCACUUCAUUCUCUCAACUGUGAGUUACUUCUGAAGAAAGCUAUGAUCUUUGUAUCUUUUGGUUAGUUAGUUUCCCCUUUUUUCAUUGCAAUGUUUCUUGUGCAGGGAUCAGCCAAGAGUAGGAGUGUAGUUGGGGAAGCUUCGAUCGAUUUAGCAGCUUAUGCCGAGACAGCGAAAGCUUCGUUUGUGUCUCUUCCCUUGAAGAACUCCAAGACUAAUGCAGUGUUACAUGUAAGUAAUUUUAGUGGGCAUUGUUGGCUUUUUUAAGUUUUGAGGCUUUGGUGUUUAACUUGUGUGUGAUCGUGUUCAAAAUAGGUUUCGAUUCAGAAGUUGCAGGCGAGCGUAGCUGUAGAUCAGAGGUAAUGGCUGGUUGGAUAGGUGUAGUUUGCGACGUAUUCUUGCUUAUGUACUUUGCCAUGGAUUGGUUUCUUAUA